RNAcentral lists this ribosomal RNA (467 nucleotides) under uncultured bacterium. Its description in RNAcentral is "partial 16S ribosomal RNA". It matches the Rfam family "Bacterial small subunit ribosomal RNA", at positions 29 to 507 of the family's 1533-position model. The record is from RNAcentral.
ACGAACGCUGGCGGCGUGCUUAACACAUGCAAGUCGAACGGAAAGGCCCUGCUUUUGUGGGGUGCUCGCGUGGCGAACGGGUGAGUAACACGUGAGUAACCUGCCCUUGACUUUGGGAUAACUUCAGGAAACUGGGGCUAAUACCGGAUAGGAGCUCCUGCUGCAUGGUGGGGGUUGGAAGGUUUCGGCGGUUGGGGAUGGACUCGCGGCUUAUCAGCUUGUUGGUGGGGUAGUGGCUUACCAAGGCUUUGACGGGUAGCCGGCCUGAGAGGGUGACCGGCCACAUUGGGACUGAGAUACGGCCCAGACUCCUACGGGAGGCAGCAGUGGGGAAUAUUGCACAAUGGGCGGAAGCCUGAUGCAGCAACGCCGCGUGCGGGAUGACGGCCUUCGGGUUGUAAACCGCUUUCGCCUGUGACGAAGCGUGAGUGACGGUAAUGGGUAAAGAAGCACCGGCUAACUACGUG